AAAAUAGUCACAAAUUCCUGUGUUAGUCUCACCCCGUUAAGUAAAAAGGUUAUUGGUUCGGAAAAGGGUUCAAAUCCUUUACAGUCUCUUGUACUGCAUGAUGGAUGACGCUACGACAAUCACUGGGUAACUGGGAAGAUGUAGGCUGUCAGUCGAAAUCAAGUCAGGAUAUGAACAAUAGCUUAAUAACAAAG
RNAcentral lists this non-coding RNA (194 nucleotides) under Lentilactobacillus diolivorans. Lineage: Bacteria; Bacillati; Bacillota; Bacilli; Lactobacillales; Lactobacillaceae. The record is from RNAcentral.